CUACGUGCCAGCAGCCGCGGUAAUACGUAGGGGGCAAGCGUUAUCCGGAUUCAUUGGGCGUAAAGCGCUCGUAGGCGGUCUGUUAGGUCGGGAGUUAAAUCCGGGGGCUCAACCCCCGUUCGCUCCCGAUACCGGCAGACUUGAGUUUGGUAGGGGAAGGUGGAAUUCCUAGUGUAGCGGUGGAAUGCGCAGAUAUUAGGAAGAACACCAGUGGCGAAGGCGACUUUCUGGACGAAAACUGACGCUGAGGCGCGAAAGCCAGGGGAGCGAACGGGAUUAGAUACCCCGGUAGUCCUGGCCGUAAACGAUGGGUACUAGGUGUAGGAGGUAUCGACCCCUUCUGUGCCGGAGUUAACGCAAUAAGUACCCCGCCUGGGGAGUACGACCGCAAGGUUGAAACUCAAAGGAAUUGACGGGGGCCCGCACAAGCGGUGGAGUAUGUGGUUUAAUUCGACGCAACGCGAAGAACCUUACCAGGUCUU
This 482-nucleotide ribosomal RNA is filed under the name uncultured bacterium. RNAcentral describes it as "bacterial SSU rRNA". It matches the Rfam family "Bacterial small subunit ribosomal RNA", at positions 501 to 982 of the family's 1533-position model. The record is from RNAcentral.